Molecule: ribosomal RNA, 264 nt
Filed under: uncultured archaeon
Lineage: Archaea
Description: partial 16S ribosomal RNA
Rfam family: Archaeal small subunit ribosomal RNA
Source: RNAcentral
AGACGUCUACAUUAGAUACCCCUGUAGUCCCAGCCGUAAACUAUGCGCGUUAGGUGUAUCGGUGACCACGAGUCACCGAGGUGCCGAAGGGAAACCGUGAAACGUACCGCCUGGGAAGUACGGUCGCAAGGCUGAAACUUAAAGGAAUCGGCGGGGAGCACCACAACGGGUGGAGCCUGCGGUUUAAUUGGACUCAACGCCGGGAAGCUCACCGGAUAAGACAGCGGAAUGAUUGCCGGGCUGAAGACUCUGCAUGACUAGCUG